GAUGAAGAACGCAGUUAAAUGCGAUAACUAGUGUGAAUUGCAGAAUUCCGUGAAUCAUCGAGUCUUUGAACGCACAUUGCGCCCCCUGGUAUUCCGGGGGGCAUGCCUGUCCGAGCGUCAUUGCUGCCCAUCAAGCACGGCUUGUGUGUUGGGUCGUCGUCCCCUCUCCGGGGGGGACGGGCCCCAAAGGCAGCGGCGGCACCGCGUCCGAUCCUCGAGCGUAUGGGGCUUUGUCACCCGCUCUGUAGGCCCGGCCGGCGCUUGCCGAACGCAAAUCAAUCUUUUUCCAGGUUGACCUCGGAUCAGGUAGGGAUACCCGCUGAACUUAAGCAUAUCAAUAAGCGGAGGA
This 349-nucleotide unclassified non-coding RNA is filed under the name soil metagenome. RNAcentral's name for it is "partial contains 5.8S ribosomal RNA, internal transcribed spacer 2, and large subunit ribosomal RNA". The stretch from base 1 to 120 matches the Rfam family "5.8S ribosomal RNA", at positions 35 to 154 of the family's 154-position model. The record is from RNAcentral.